GAAAUGCGAUAAGUAGUGUGAAUUGCAGAAUUCCGUGAAUCAUCGAAUCUUUGAACGCACAUUGCGCCUCCUGGCAUUCCAGGGGGCAUGCCUGUUCGAGCGUCAUUAAAAAGCCUUCAGGCGAGCUUGGCUCGCCUGGUCCUGAGGGAAUGGUCACCUUCCGGUUGCCCAUCCCCCGAAAUCAAACGGCAGACGACCACCGGUGGAACUGCUGGCGUAGUGAGCAAUUCUUUCGCCAGUGGCCACCGAGGGACAGUCUUGCCGGUUUAACCCCCACAUCCAACGGUUGACCUCGGAUCAGGUAGGGAUACCCGCUGAACUUAA
This 324-nucleotide unclassified non-coding RNA is filed under the name uncultured fungus. RNAcentral describes it as "sequence contains ITS1". The stretch from base 1 to 105 matches the Rfam family "5.8S ribosomal RNA", at positions 50 to 154 of the family's 154-position model. The record is from RNAcentral. Lineage: Eukaryota; Fungi.